Molecule: ribosomal RNA, 639 nt
Filed under: Lacticaseibacillus rhamnosus
Lineage: Bacteria; Bacillati; Bacillota; Bacilli; Lactobacillales; Lactobacillaceae
Description: bacterial SSU rRNA
Rfam family: Bacterial small subunit ribosomal RNA
Source: RNAcentral
GGACGCAAGUCUGAUGGAGCAACGCCGCGUGAGUGAAGAAGGCUUUCGGGUCGUAAAACUCUGUUGUUGGAGAAGAAUGGUCGGCAGAGUAACUGUUGUCGGCGUGACGGUAUCCAACCAGAAAGCCACGGCUAACUACGUGCCAGCAGCCGCGGUAAUACGUAGGUGGCAAGCGUUAUCCGGAUUUAUUGGGCGUAAAGCGAGCGCAGGCGGUUUCUUAAGUCUGAUGUGAAAGCCCUCGGCUUAACCGAGGAAGUGCAUCGGAAACUGGGAAACUUGAGUGCAGAAGAGGACAGUGGAACUCCAUGUGUAGCGGUGAAAUGCGUAGAUAUAUGGAAGAACACCAGUGGCGAAGGCGGCUGUCUGGUCUGUAACUGACGCUGAGGCUCGAAAGCAUGGGUAGCGAACAGGAUUAGAUACCCUGGUAGUCCAUGCCGUAAACGAUGAAUGCUAGGUGUUGGAGGGUUUCCGCCCUUCAGUGCCGCAGCUAACGCAUUAAGCAUUCCGCCUGGGGAGUACGACCGCAAGGUUGAAACUCAAAGGAAUUGACGGGGGCCCGCACAAGCGGUGGAGCAUGUGGUUUAAUUCGAAGCAACGCGUAGAACCUUACCAGGUCUUGACAUCUUUUGAUCACCUGAG